RNAcentral lists this long non-coding RNA (1728 nucleotides) under Acyrthosiphon pisum (pea aphid). RNAcentral's name for it is "uncharacterized LOC103310258". The record is from RNAcentral. Lineage: Eukaryota; Metazoa; Arthropoda; Insecta; Hemiptera; Aphididae.
CACAAAGUUCUGUGACUAUCAUCAUAUUGUAGGCCCGUUAUAUCACUAUUACACAUUCAUAUCUUAAACACGAAUAUAAUUAUAAAUGCUCUUUAACUUAUAUUACAUCCGGUUGGCGAUUUGACUAUUUAGUACUCUUGCUACGAAUGUAGGAAUUCUAAGAGCUGUGUUUAAGGUACAAAUGUGUAACAAUAAAUACUCAUCACUGUAAAUUACAUUCGGUUGGCGAAUUGACUAUAAUAUGUACUCUUGCUACGAAUGUAGGGACUUUGAGAGCACGUGAUAAUAGUCACUAUUAGUAUUAUCAUUUAUAUUUGAUUAGAAAUUUGAAUAUUUCCAUUUAUAUCUUAUUAGUAAAGAGUGUAAGGUAUAGGAAAUUUUACAUAUUAUAUAAAUCAAGAUACAUAUAUUGUCAUCGUGAUAUCGACUGUCGAACACGACCCUGAAUCAAUAUAAACCACUAGCAAGAACUAGCUGCAACAAUCUACACACAAGGUAAGUGUUUGAAUAUUUAUACAAUAAGCGUAGAUAAUUCAAAUAUUAUUAGAAUAGGCAUAACACAGUAGUAGGACGAUCUCACGCGGAAACUCUCAAACAACAUAAUUUUACACGACUCCCAGACACACACAUACUUACCCACAAUCCCUCUUAUUAGUACAAAUAAACCUACUACAACAAAUAUUGUCGAGCACCGACGACGUAGCGGGGGCUAUUGAUCCAUAAUGUCUCUGAAGGACACAGGCAACCGGUCUCGGCAGCUGCGUCCCUUUGCCCGUUGAAAUAGGUCGUCAACCCCGUAUAUUCACCAUACAUUAUUACGUAUCGUCUUAUUAUACGUAAUUUUUGAUUCGAUACAAACUUAUCUCGCUAAUACUAUUACCAUCCCCUGCCGCGUAUUUUCUCCCUAUUACAUAGUUAUCUCGUGUUUUUAUUUAAAUCUAAAUAUUAUAUAUUACAAUAAUAUUAUUGCUCAAACAACCUUAUUUAACUGGCUAAUAAGUAAUAACAAAUAUUAGGAACAUGGAAACCUGCUUUAUUAUAAGUAAAUAUAUUAUAUUGAUUGUUCAAUAUACUAUAAGUAAAUAUAUUAUAUUGAUUGUUAAAUAUUAUAUUUCGCUCGUCACGUAUGGACGGAUUUAAAAGACAAUCGUGUAUCAUUACAGUAAGUACUAAAUUUCAUAGACGUUUUCGAGUGAAAAUAAUAAUAAUUAAUAACUAUUCUUAUGUAUUAUAGAUUGAAGAAGCUAGUAAUCAAUCUUGUAACAUUACAGUUGAAGAAGAUACCAUUGAAAAAUCAAUAAUUAUGUAUUCAAAAAUUAUAAAUGUGGUCUUAACUAUUAUAUGUGUCGGCCUAUUGGUAACAAUUAUAAUGUUAUUAAGCCCUGCGGUUAACUCCCAACGGAUUCUGGCAUUUUCCAAUGGAACAAAUAUUGAAUCCACCGAAGGAGGACUCAUGAAGACCCUAUGGAAGGCUAUAAAACCUAUUAUUUCGCCGGACACUGCAGCCCCAGAAAUCUCGGUAGCAAAUGCUACUGAAAUUAGGAUUAACCAUAACAAUAAUAAUCAUAACAACAUAACUAAUAUAACUAAUAUAGUUAAUAAUUAUUACAACUGUAAUCACAAACAAUAAAUCAUAUGCCGGUUUCGCUGUAGCUAUCACUGAACCAGUAUAUUAUAUAAAAAUUGGUGGACUGAAUUUAUGUGUCGUUUGUUUCAAUGUCUGUUGUG